RNAcentral lists this ribosomal RNA (253 nucleotides) under uncultured bacterium. Its description in RNAcentral is "partial 16S ribosomal RNA". It matches the Rfam family "Bacterial small subunit ribosomal RNA", at positions 524 to 776 of the family's 1533-position model. The record is from RNAcentral.
UACAGGGGGGGCAAGCGUUGUUCGGAAUUACUGGGUGUAAAGGGUUCGUAGGCGGUGCGGCAAGUUGGGAGUGAAAUCUCUGGGCUUAACCCAGAGGCUGCUUCCAAAACUGCUGUGCUUGAGUGUGGGAGAGGCGCGUGGAAUUGCAGGUGUAGCGGUGAAAUGCGUAGAUAUCGGAAGGAACAUCAGUGGCGAAAGCGGCUUCCUGGACCAGUACCGACGUUCAGGCACGAAAGCGUGGGGAGCAAACAGG